UGUCAACAGAGAAACAUGCUUUUUGCAGGUGUCUGCCAGCAGGUAAGUUAUCUACCCAUUUGCCUUGGCAGCACUGCUAUUGUAAAUGAAGCCCUUGAUCUGUCCUCUCGUGUGAACUCCCUGCGGAGGGCAGCGGGCAAAGAUUACACUGUGACAUUCCUGCUGAUUUGGCGUAUUAGCCAUCUGGCAUGCCCUCCUCCUGAAGACACACACGUUUGCACUGGUGGCACCAAACCCACAGCGAUCCAUCUCCCCCCGUGUCCAUUUAGUGCACAGCUGAAAAUGAUGCCCGUU
Molecule: long non-coding RNA, 294 nt
Organism: Sinocyclocheilus rhinocerous
Lineage: Eukaryota; Metazoa; Chordata; Actinopteri; Cypriniformes; Cyprinidae
Exons: 3
Source: RefSeq, a predicted model, not a curated record